RNAcentral lists this unclassified non-coding RNA (314 nucleotides) under Hevea brasiliensis (rubber tree). The record is from RNAcentral. Lineage: Eukaryota; Viridiplantae; Streptophyta; Magnoliopsida; Malpighiales; Euphorbiaceae.
GAAGUUGGUGAUCCUUUCAGUUUGUUUAUGUGUUUUGCUUAUGAACAUGUCUAUGGUAGUUUUCUUUUUGUCCGUUUUUGUUUUCCGGCGCCUGAUUUGAUUUGCUUUUAACAUAGAGUAGGAAAAUUUAGUCUCUCCCUUUGCGGUAAACUGUAGAUGGGUUGGUUUCUUUGUGACUUUUUGGGUGGUUCCUUUUCAGAUUUUCUUGCUUUGCAUUGAAGUUGUAAGAUGCUAAAAAAAAUUUUUAUAAAUUUAUUAUGGAAUUACGAAUAUAUUGCUAAAAUUAUAAAAUGUUUGGCCUUUUUUUUUUUACU